RNAcentral lists this ribosomal RNA (482 nucleotides) under Hydrobia sp. A-TW-2002. RNAcentral's name for it is "partial 16S ribosomal RNA". It matches the Rfam family "Bacterial large subunit ribosomal RNA", at positions 1835 to 2587 of the family's 2925-position model. The record is from RNAcentral. Lineage: Eukaryota; Metazoa; Mollusca; Gastropoda; Littorinimorpha; Hydrobiidae.
UUUAUUUCCUAUAACGAGUCGAACCUGCCCAGUGAUUUUAUUUAACGGCCGCAGUACUCUGACUGUGCAAAGGUAGCAUAAUCAUUUGCCUUAUAAUUAAAGGCUGGUAUGAAUGGUUUGACAAGAAUGACGCUGUCUCUUUCGAAUUUUAUAGAAUUUGGUUUUUAGGUGAAGAAACCUAAAUAAAAUUAAAAGACAAGAAGACCCUAUCGAGCUUUAAAUAAUUUUUUUUGUUAUAGGGUAAUACUAGUUUCAAAGAAAAAUUUUGGUUGGGGCGACUAAGGAACACAAAAAGCUUCCUAUAAAAUAUAACUACAUUUACGUUUUGAUCCAAAAUGUUUGAUUAACAGAAUUAGUUACCGUAGGGAUAACAGCAUAAUCUUUUUUGAGAGUUCUUAUCGAAAAAAAGGUUUGUGACCUCGAUGUUGGACUAGGGUACCCAGAGAGGUGCAGAAGCCUUCAAUGGUUGGUCUGUUCGACCA